This 61-nucleotide transfer RNA is filed under the name Neobisnius villosulus. RNAcentral describes it as "tRNA-Tyr". Lineage: Eukaryota; Metazoa; Arthropoda; Insecta; Coleoptera; Staphylinidae. The record is from RNAcentral.
GAUAGAAUGGCCGAUUAGGCGAUAAACUGUAAAUUUAUUUAUGAAUUUUGAUUCUUUUAUC